AGAGUUUGAUCAUGGCUCAGGAUGAACGCUAGCUACAGGCUUAACACAUGCAAGUCGAGGGGCAGCAUGAACUUAGCUUGCUAAGUUUGAUGGCGACCGGCGCACGGGUGAGUAACACGUAUCCAACCUGCCGAUGACUCGGGGAUAGCCUUUCGAAAGAAAGAUUAAUACCCGAUGGCAUAAUUCUUCCGCAUGGUAGAACUAUUAAAGAAUUUCGGUCAUCGAUGGGGAUGCGUUCCAUUAGGUUGUUGGCGGGGUAACGGCCCACCAAGCCUUCGAUGGAUAGGGGUUCUGAGAGGAAGGUCCCCCACAUUGGAACUGAGACACGGUCCAAACUCCUACGGGAGGCAGCAGUGAGGAAUAUUGGUCAAUGGACGAGAGUCUGAACCAGCCAAGUAGCGUGAAGGAUGACUGCCCUAUGGGUUGUAAACUUCUUUUAUACGGGAAUAAAGUGAGGCACGUGUGCCUUUUUGUAUGUACCGUAUGAAUAAGGAUCGGCUAACUCCGUGCCAGCAGCCGCGGUAAUUC
This 528-nucleotide ribosomal RNA is filed under the name uncultured bacterium. Its description in RNAcentral is "bacterial SSU rRNA". It matches the Rfam family "Bacterial small subunit ribosomal RNA", at positions 8 to 526 of the family's 1533-position model. The record is from RNAcentral.